GUGGAUUAGAUACCCUGGUAGUCCACGCCCUAAACGAUGUCUACUAGUUGUCGGGUUUUAAUUAACUUGGUAACGCAGCUAACGCGUGAAGUAGACCGCCUGGGGAGUACGGUCGCAAGAUUAAAACUCAAAGGAAUUGACGGGGACCCGCACAAGCGGUGGAUGAUGUGGAUUAAUUCGAUGCAACGCGAAAAACCUUACCUACCCUUGACAUGUACGGAAGGCCGAAGAGAUUUGGCUGUGCUCGAAAGAGAACCGUAACACAGGUGCUGCACGGCCGUCGCCAACU
This 289-nucleotide ribosomal RNA is filed under the name uncultured bacterium. Its description in RNAcentral is "partial 16S ribosomal RNA". It matches the Rfam family "Bacterial small subunit ribosomal RNA", at positions 773 to 1060 of the family's 1533-position model. The record is from RNAcentral.